This 468-nucleotide ribosomal RNA is filed under the name uncultured bacterium. Its description in RNAcentral is "bacterial SSU rRNA". It matches the Rfam family "Bacterial small subunit ribosomal RNA", at positions 917 to 1382 of the family's 1533-position model. The record is from RNAcentral.
GGGCCCGCACAAGCGGUGGAGCAUGUGGUUCAAUUCGAAGCAACGCGCAGAACCUUACCAACCCUUGACAUGUCCAGUAUGGGUUUCAGAGAUGAGACCCUUCAGUUCGGCUGGCUGGAACACAGGUGCUGCAUGGCUGUCGUCAGCUCGUGUCGUGAGAUGUUGGGUUAAGUCCCGCAACGAGCGCAACCCUCGCCCUUAGUUGCCAUCAUUUAGUUGGGCACUCUAGGGGGACUGCCGGUGAUAAGCCGCGAGGAAGGUGGGGAUGACGUCAAGUCCUCAUGGCCCUUACGGGUUGGGCUACACACGUGCUACAAUGGCGGUGACAAUGGGAUGCAAAGGGGUGACCCUGUGCAAAUCUCAAAAAGCCGUCUCAGUUCGGACUGGGGUCUGCAACUCGACCCCACGAAGUCGGAAUCGCUAGUAAUCGUGGAUCAGCAUGCCACGGUGAAUACGUUCCCGGGCCUU